Molecule: ribosomal RNA, 429 nt
Filed under: uncultured soil bacterium
Lineage: Bacteria
Description: bacterial SSU rRNA
Rfam family: Bacterial small subunit ribosomal RNA
Source: RNAcentral
GAACCUUACCAGCCCUUGACAUGUCCCGUAUGGGUUUCAGAGAUGAGACCCUUCAGUUCGGCUGGCGGGAACACAGGUGCUGCAUGGCUGUCGUCAGCUCGUGUCGUGAGAUGUUGGGUUAAGUCCCGCAACGAGCGCAACCCUCGCCCUUAGUUGCCAUCAUUCAGUUGGGCACUCUAAGGGGACUGCCGGUGAUAAGCCGCGAGGAAGGUGGGGAUGACGUCAAGUCCUCAUGGCCCUUACGGGCUGGGCUACACACGUGCUACAAUGGCGGUGACAGUGGGAUGCAAUGGAGCAAUCCUGCGCAAAUCUCAAAAAGCCGUCUCAGUUCGGAUUGGGGUCUGCAACUCGACCCCAUGAAGUCGGAAUCGCUAGUAAUCGCAGAUCAGCACGCUGCGGUGAAUACGUUCCCGGGCCUUGUCACACCGA